This 254-nucleotide ribosomal RNA is filed under the name uncultured bacterium. Its description in RNAcentral is "partial 16S ribosomal RNA". It matches the Rfam family "Bacterial small subunit ribosomal RNA", at positions 524 to 776 of the family's 1533-position model. The record is from RNAcentral.
GACGUAGGGCGCGAGCGUUGUCCGGAUUUACUGGGCGUAAAGAGCUUGUAGGCGGUUUGUCGCGUCUGCUGUGAAAUUUCGGGGCUCAACCCCGAACUUGCAGUGGGUACGGGCAGACUAGAGUGUGGUAGGGGGAGACUGGAAUUCCUGGUGUAGCGGUGAAAUGCGUAGAUAUCGAGAGGAACACCUGCGGCGAAGGCAGCUCGCUGGGACGGUACUGACGCUGAGGCGCGAAAGCGUGGGGAGCAAACAGG